Molecule: ribosomal RNA, 253 nt
Filed under: uncultured bacterium
Lineage: Bacteria
Description: partial 16S ribosomal RNA
Rfam family: Bacterial small subunit ribosomal RNA
Source: RNAcentral
UACAGAGGUCUCAAGCGUUGUUCGGAUUCAUUGGGCGUAAAGGGUGCGUAGGCGGCGCGGUAAGUCGGGUGUGAAAUCUCGGAGCUUAACUCCGAAACUGCAUUCGAUACUGCCGUGCUUGAGGACUGGAGAGGAGACUGGAAUUUACGGUGUAGCGGUGAAAUGCGUAGAGAUCCGGAAGAACACCGGUGGCGAAGGCGGCCUGCUGGGCAGUUGCUGACGCUGAGGCGCGACAGCGUGGGGAGCAAACAGG